RNAcentral lists this ribosomal RNA (510 nucleotides) under uncultured bacterium. RNAcentral's name for it is "partial 16S ribosomal RNA". It matches the Rfam family "Bacterial small subunit ribosomal RNA", at positions 28 to 507 of the family's 1533-position model. The record is from RNAcentral.
GACGAACGCUGGCGGCGUGCUUAACACAUGCAAGUCGAACGAAGAGCGAUGGAAGCUUGCUUCUAUCAAUCUUAGUGGCGAACGGGUGAGUAACGCGUAAUCAACCUGCCCUUCAGAGGGGGACAACAGUUGGAAACGACUGCUAAUACCGCAUACGAUCUAACCUCGGCAUCGAGGAUAGAUGAAAGGUGGCCUCUACAUGUAAGCUAUCACUGAAGGAGGGGAUUGCGUCUGAUUAGCUAGUUGGAGGGGUAACGGCCCACCAAGGCGAUGAUCAGUAGCCGGUCUGAGAGGAUGAACGGCCACAUUGGGACUGAGACACGGCCCAGACUCCUACGGGAGGCAGCAGUGGGGAAUCUUCCGCAAUGGAUGAAAGUCUGACGGAGCAACGCCGCGUGAGUGAUGACGGCCUUCGGGUUGUAAAGCUCUGUUAAUCGGGACGAAAGGCCUUCUUGCGAAUAGUGAGAAGGAUUGACGGUACCGGAAUAGAAAGCCACGGCUAACUACGUG